AAAAAAAAAAAAAAUUCAAAAACCAUAUUUAUAGAGUGGCACAACUUUGCAUAUAAGAAUGCUAAAAAAAGGUGGAAAAUCUGGUAACUGUGAGAAUGAGAAAACAUCCAGUUGGCAUAUGUUAGACCUUAGACUUCGAUCUUACCAUUCCCUUCGCAAAAAGAAAGAAAGAAAGAAAUAGAAUAGCUCAAUAUAGAGGAAAAACAAAUAGAAGAAAACCCUGAAGAUCAACAUACAUCAUGACUUCUUGAGUAAUUUUU
This 260-nucleotide unclassified non-coding RNA is filed under the name Hevea brasiliensis (rubber tree). The record is from RNAcentral. Lineage: Eukaryota; Viridiplantae; Streptophyta; Magnoliopsida; Malpighiales; Euphorbiaceae.